This 460-nucleotide ribosomal RNA is filed under the name uncultured bacterium. RNAcentral describes it as "partial 16S ribosomal RNA". It matches the Rfam family "Bacterial small subunit ribosomal RNA", at positions 338 to 795 of the family's 1533-position model. The record is from RNAcentral.
CCUACGGGAGGCAGCAGUGAGGAAUAUUGGUCAAUGGGCGCGAGCCUGAACCAGCCAAGUAGCGUGAAGGAUGACUGCCCUACGGGUUGUAAACUUCUUUUAUAAAGGAAUAAAGUGCGGCACGUGUGCCUUUUUGUAUGUACUUUAUGAAUAAGGAUCGGCUAACUCCGUGCCAGCAGCCGCGGUAAUACGGAGGAUCCGAGCGUUAUCAGGAUUUAUUUGGUUUAAAGGGAGCGUAGAUGGGUUGUUAAGUCAGUUGUGAAAGUUUUGGGCUCAACCGUAAAAGUGCAAUUGAUACUGGCAGUCUUGAGUACAGUUGAGGUAGGCGGAAUUCGUGGUGGAGCGGUGAAAUGCUUAGAUAUCACGAAGAACUCCGAUUGCGAAGGCAGCUUACUAAACUGCCACUGACAUUGAUGCUCGAAAGUGUGGGUAUCAAACAGGAUUAGAUACCCGAGUAGUC